GCGUGUCUAGUUUAGUGGCAGAAUGCUCGCCUUCCAAGCGGGCGACCGGGGUUCGAUUCCCCGUAUACGCA
Parasitella parasitica is the source of this 71-nucleotide non-coding RNA. Lineage: Eukaryota; Fungi; Mucoromycota; Mucoromycetes; Mucorales; Mucoraceae. The record is from the annotation of a GenBank genome assembly.